CUGAGUGCACAGUGGCGCGUGUGAUUCCGCAGUCUUGGGCUGUUCGGCCAAGUGCCCACCAGACGUGGGGCACUGGAGGGUCAGCAGCGUGGAGUCUGGCUUUCAGCGUCCACGGCUGGGAAAUCGGCCAUCGCCACGGCGGGAACUAGGACUGGCUGCGUCCCGGCCCUUCCCCAUCCGUCCACCGGACUCGUGGGCGCCCGCACUGGCGCUGAUGUAGUUUCCUGACCUCUGACCCGUAUUGUCUCAAGAUUAAAGGUCCAGAUUUUGAACAAAUCUCUCUAGGGAUUGAACAGAGCUGCGCCUGGAUCCUGCCACAGUGAGGAGACCUGAAGACCAGAGGAAGCACAGCAAGCCCUUGGAUCCUCCUGGAAUCCCCGAUCCCUGUUGCUCCCUUGCGGAGUUUUCUAGUCCGUCUUAUUUGAAGUAUGUCUUUCAGAGCCUCACACCACCCAGCUUGGGUAUGUGAUGGAUUUUCACAUCUCAAGCCAGUUAAGAGUGUGGAAAAUAGGACUCCUUAAAGCACAGAUAUAACAAGUGGUUCAGAUUUACGAGGGUAACUCAGGUGAGAGUGUAUCAUUGUACUUGGCACACAGCACUCAGUAACUAUCACCUUUGAUUUAAAUGAAUGCAGCUGUAAAUGCUUUCCUAGGUGUCUUGUUGAUGUUUGUUAAUUUCUGUAGAGUUUGAUUCUGCUCCUUUCACUGUUUAUCACUUGACCCUUAUCACUUGAGAGUCCCCUUAUCACUUGACCUGCUGUUAUGUUUGAUUUAUUACAAAUACCCCAUCAGCCUGGGUCUCUCUUUACUCCCUUUGUACACCUACAUCUAAACAUAGGGAUUUGGAUUAUCUCAGGAUCCCACAUCCUCACUGUACCCCCACCCCCACCCCUACCAUAUCAUUCUUAAGUUUUCUAGUCCCUCCUUUUCAUUUGUGCUCCUUAAAGCCCAGCCCCAUGCCUGACUUUGGUUCCCACUGAGUUCUGUUACAAGCAUUGUACAUUUAUAGAUAUUAAAUCUUUAGCCAGGUCAUUUACCUGGG
RNAcentral lists this long non-coding RNA (1041 nucleotides) under Pongo abelii (Sumatran orangutan). RNAcentral describes it as "lincRNA". Lineage: Eukaryota; Metazoa; Chordata; Mammalia; Primates; Hominidae. The record is from RNAcentral.